Molecule: non-coding RNA, 69 nt
Organism: Podarcis lilfordi (Lilford's wall lizard)
Lineage: Eukaryota; Metazoa; Chordata; Lepidosauria; Squamata; Lacertidae
Source: the annotation of a GenBank genome assembly
GCUGUAGCUCGGAGGCAGAACAUUUGCUUUGUAUGCAGAAGGUCUCGGGUUCAAUCCCUGGCAUCUCCA